AUUUUCUAAGAUUUAAAAACAUA
Molecule: small nuclear RNA, 23 nt
Filed under: Arabidopsis thaliana (thale cress)
Lineage: Eukaryota; Viridiplantae; Streptophyta; Magnoliopsida; Brassicales; Brassicaceae
Description: snRNA_03021
Source: RNAcentral